Molecule: ribosomal RNA, 164 nt
Filed under: uncultured soil bacterium
Lineage: Bacteria
Description: partial 16S ribosomal RNA
Source: RNAcentral
CUUUCCGUAGGCUGCGUUGGGGAUUCCUACGGGAGGCAGCAGAGGGGAAUCUUGCACAACCGCGAAACCAUGAUCCAGCAACGCCGCGUGAGCGAUGAAGCCCUUAGGGAGUAAACUCUUUCACCCGGAGGAAAGACGGUACUUCAGAAUAGCCAGCUAUUUCG